RNAcentral lists this transfer RNA (73 nucleotides) under Trichonephila inaurata madagascariensis. It matches the Rfam family "tRNA". Rfam says of the family: Transfer RNA (tRNA) molecules are approximately 80 nucleotides in length. Their secondary structure includes four short double-helical elements and three loops (D, anti-codon, and T loops). The record is from Rfam by way of RNAcentral. Lineage: Eukaryota; Metazoa; Arthropoda; Arachnida; Araneae; Nephilidae.
GUCCUUGUAGCGCAAUGGAUUGUGCGUUGGAUUUCUAAUCCAAAGGUCGGGGGUUCGAAUCCCACCUGGGAUG